Molecule: ribosomal RNA, 216 nt
Filed under: Glomeromycotina sp.
Lineage: Eukaryota; Fungi; Glomeromycota
Description: partial small subunit ribosomal RNA
Rfam family: Eukaryotic small subunit ribosomal RNA (bases 40-216)
Source: RNAcentral
GGGUCAGUAGGUUGGUCGUGCCACCGGUACGUACUGGACUCACUGAUUCCUCCUUCCUGAAGAACCGUAAUGCCAUUAAUUUGGUGUUGCGGGGAAUCAGGACUGUUACUUUGAAAAAAUUAGAGUGUUUAAAGCAAGCUAACGCUUGAAUACAUUAGCAUGGAAUAAUGAAAUAGGACGAUCGAUCCUAUUUUGUUGGUUUCUAGGAUUGACGUA